GUCCGCGUAGAGUAGUGGUCAUCUCGCCAGAAUCACAAUACCGGUCCCAGAUUUAGGACCAGGAUUCCUCUGGAUAUCGUCGGUUCGAACCCGACCGCGGGCA
Non-coding RNA from Arthrobotrys megalospora, 103 nucleotides. The record is from the annotation of a GenBank genome assembly. NCBI's taxonomy places the organism in Eukaryota, Fungi, Ascomycota, Orbiliomycetes, Orbiliales, Orbiliaceae.